GUUGUAGUGUGUCUCAUCCCAGACUCACAGCACCGGAUGCACCAAAGCAUCUCCCUGACUACUAAUGAGACCAAAAAUACACCAGCAGGUCAGGGGAAAGGCCAGACAUUGUAUUAUACAAAUUCAAAAAAAUCCUCAGCCUGUUAGACCAAGAGAUCAGUGAGACCUGCAGAAGCUCGGCUGAAUGCCAAGGGAAAGGAGGAGAAAAGCAUAAAUGAGAAGGAGAAACAGAAGAGAAAAAUAGGAGAGAAGAGGAGGACAAACAGAGGCAAAAAAAAAAAAAAGAAUGACUUACAGGAUGUUGGAUUUUCUUUAAUACUUUUUUUUUUUCUUUUUGUCAUUAUUGGGAAGAAGAAAGAGACUGUUGUCAAGGGGUGGUGACUGGGUCAGAAUCUUUCAGAUUUGCCAGACAGGGUCUUUGCAGUAGACUGACAGAGAAAAAAGAAACAUGCUAGAAUAAUUAUAAAGGGUGGAGCUGUCAAAAAAUCUUUGACUCACUGGGUACCUCCCUGUAACGCCAAAAUGAAUCAUUCCUAACUAGAAUCAUCAAUUGUCUUAGUGUACUUGUAUAAUAAGGCCAAAGUAUAUGCCACUGUACCCAUUUUCAAAAAGGAAAGGUAAAUGAGAAUGAGAUUUCCUGACAUGCUUCUAACUUCUCUAUAUUUGUGACAAUACUUCAGCAUGAUUUUUAUAUACUAAGCGAAUUUUCCCUUGUCUGUCUUCACUCUGCUUACAAAGAUUUACAAAUAUAUGACUUAUGAAAGUUUUGCUAUGAACACAUCAUUUUCUCCAUACAACUCAGCGAUGUCUUUGGAGGAUACUUAUUUCAAGCAGUUAACACCUGACCCCAAUUUCUGUGGGUAAUUAGUGAGCUAGAUAACCACACAAAGUGGGUAAUUAUUUAGUACCCAAGGGUAC
Heterocephalus glaber (naked mole-rat) is the source of this 918-nucleotide long non-coding RNA. The record is from Ensembl. NCBI's taxonomy places the organism in Eukaryota, Metazoa, Chordata, Mammalia, Rodentia, Bathyergidae.